GUUAAGGACUCAAACAUAACUAGAGAGAAGAAGUGGGUAUGUCCCAGAAUUUUUAUAGCUGAAACACAAAGCUGAAUCUCAAAUUCACACAAUCAUGAUGAUAUGGUGCAACUUGUUGAAAUUGUGUUAAAGGAUACAAUGCGCUGAUCCUGGUACGCCCACUUCUGUUUCAGAUACUCAAUGAGGCUGGAAACUUUCCUGUGAAGUUCCACCACCAUCCUGGGUUGCAAAAGAUGAAAAGAAAGAGUUUGCCAAUAGCUGCUGAUUCACAACCGGCUGUGCAGACCCCUGGCCCUUGGAGGCCUUGGACACUCCCCCUGUGGAGCCAGCCAAAGGGCCCGACUGUCCCACUGCCCCCUGGGAGGAAGAGCCAUUCUCUGCGCCUGUAAUACAUAGAGACAAGGAGCCCACAAACCCGAUGGUGUUGCAACUGGGGCUGGAGCAGCCAGAAAUCUACACAAGCACAACCCAGCCAGUGGCCCAGAGGGACUACACGGCAACAAAAACAGCAUCACUUUAGCCACCACAGAUUAACAACCGGUAAACACAGCGACACAGUCAAAACUGAGAGUGGACCCCCUGUUAAUCCCUGCUAAACAAGCACUUCUCCCAGCUGGUCACCUUCAGUACCUUUCG
This is a long non-coding RNA of Toxotes jaculatrix (banded archerfish), 636 nucleotides long. RefSeq lists it as uncharacterized. NCBI's taxonomy places the organism in Eukaryota, Metazoa, Chordata, Actinopteri, Toxotidae. The transcript is spliced from 3 exons. The record is from RefSeq and is a predicted model, not a curated record.